UUUUAGCAAUAUUCAAGCAAUAUCACGGCAGGGGACACCAGAAAUGGGCUUCACACAUUGUACAUUGUGGGAAUCAGACCCAGGUUGUGGGACUACU
Long non-coding RNA from Haliotis rubra (blacklip abalone), 97 nucleotides. RefSeq lists it as uncharacterized. The transcript has 3 exons. The record is from RefSeq and is a predicted model, not a curated record. Lineage: Eukaryota; Metazoa; Mollusca; Gastropoda; Lepetellida; Haliotidae.